RNAcentral lists this long non-coding RNA (656 nucleotides) under Crocodylus porosus (Australian saltwater crocodile). RNAcentral's name for it is "lncRNA (ENSCPRG00005013020.1)". The record is from RNAcentral. Lineage: Eukaryota; Metazoa; Chordata; Crocodylia; Crocodylidae.
AUGAAAGCAGGACCACAAAACCAGAGGGCUGCAAGGAGCAAUGUAGACCUUCCUCAGAAAACCCUGAAUCUGCACAAAUGGCCACCGAUCCAAUAUCCUAAGAAUGAAGGAGUAAGUUCGGGUACUUUGCAAGCUCCUACCACAGGGACAGCUGUCCCAGCCCCAGUGGAUACUCCACAGAGUGUAACUGAGAAAGACCUCGCAAAGGUUCCUAGGAAAAAGCCACUCCCGCAAGCAAGACCACUGCAGUCGAAACCAGUCAAACCCAGUCGCCCUCCUGUAGUGGACCUAGAGAAGUUCAGGAAGGCCCGAGCACAUGCUUCUCCUAUACCAAAGCCACAGAGAGAUGUGCGGCAUGGUUACUCGAAGCCAGAUCCUGCUUCCUUUGGACCAGUUCUACCUAAAGCUGCUCCAUUUCCUCAUGUCUCAAGUUUAGCACGAGAACAAGAUGAGAUAUACGAUGAUGUAGAACCAGUUGGGCCAGUCAACAAGGGCAAACAGCUCCUAUUAUUCCCCAAUUCCCAGCCCACAGCCUCUUUCCAUUCUGGACAAGGUGGAAGGACUGGUCUGAUCCCUGGCAGAUUUCCUCCAGACUUCGCCACACUGAGAAAAUCCCAUAUUUCAAAACAAAGAAGGGAAAAUGUGAAGAAUCUCAA